GGUUUGUAGCUCAGUGGUAGAGCACUUGCCUAGCAUGUGUGAGGCCCUAGGUUCAAUCCCCAGCACCA
RNAcentral lists this transfer RNA (68 nucleotides) under Marmota monax (woodchuck). Its description in RNAcentral is "tRNA.Ala". The stretch from base 5 to 65 matches the Rfam family "tRNA", at positions 6 to 65 of the family's 71-position model. From Rfam's summary of the family: Transfer RNA (tRNA) molecules are approximately 80 nucleotides in length. Lineage: Eukaryota; Metazoa; Chordata; Mammalia; Rodentia; Sciuridae. The record is from RNAcentral.